Molecule: ribosomal RNA, 387 nt
Filed under: Biecheleria sp.
Lineage: Eukaryota; Dinophyceae; Suessiales; Biecheleriaceae
Description: partial small subunit ribosomal RNA
Rfam family: Eukaryotic small subunit ribosomal RNA
Source: RNAcentral
AUUCCAGCUCCAAUAGCGUAUAUUAAAGUUGUUGCGGUUAAAAAGCUCGUAGUUGGAUUUCUGCCGAGGAUGACCGGUCCGCCCUGUGGGUGUGCAUCUGGCUCAGCCUUGGCAUCUUCCUGAAGAACGUAGCUGCACUUGACUGUGUGGUGCGGUAUUUAGGACAUUUACUUUGAGGAAAUUAGAGUGUUUCAAGCAAGCGCACGCUUUGAAUACAUUAGCAUGGAAUAAUAAGAUAUGACUUCUGUCUAUUUUGUUGGUUUGCAUUCGGAAGUAAUGAUUAAUAGGGAUAGUUGGGGGUUUUCGUAUUCAAUUGUCAGAGGUGAAAUUCUUGGAUUUAUGGAAGACGAACUACUGCGAAAGCAUCAACCAAGGAUGUUUUCAUCG